GGUUCAUUCAAAUUUCUGCCCUAUCAACUUUCGACGGCUGGGUCUUGGCCAGCCAUGGUGACAACGGGUAACGGAGGGUUAGGGCUCGACCCCGGAGAAGGAGCCUGAGAAACGGCUACUACAUCCAAGGAAGGCAGCAGGCGCGCAAAUUACCCAAUCCCGACCGGGGAGGUAGUGACAAUAAAUACUGAUACAGGGCUCUUUUGGGUCUUGUAAUUGGAAUGAGUACAAUUUAAAUCCCUUAACGAGGAACAAUUGGGGGGCAAGUCUGGUGCCAGCAGCCGCGGUAAUUCCAGCUCCAAUAGCGUAUAUUAAAGUUGUUGCAGUUAAAAAGCUCGUAGUUG
This 344-nucleotide ribosomal RNA is filed under the name uncultured fungus. RNAcentral's name for it is "SSU rRNA". It matches the Rfam family "Eukaryotic small subunit ribosomal RNA", at positions 292 to 636 of the family's 1831-position model. Lineage: Eukaryota; Fungi. The record is from RNAcentral.